Molecule: non-coding RNA, 145 nt
Filed under: Frankia sp.
Lineage: Bacteria; Bacillati; Actinomycetota; Actinomycetes; Frankiales; Frankiaceae
Source: RNAcentral
ACUCUGGGGUCGGCUGCUGAUUCCCUCAAACUGUUUCGAGUCGAUGGAAGCCGGUGUGAAUCCGGCGCGGUCGCGCCACUGUUACCAACGUCGUCCCACGAGGGCGACGCCCGGAAGUCAGACCCAUCGCCGGACAUGUCCUGCC